UGUGGGUUUGUCAUAAAUAGCUCUUAUUAUUUUGAGAUAUGUUCCACCAAUACCUAGUUUAUUGAGAGUUUUUAGCAUGAAGAGGUGUUGAAUUUUAUCAAAGGCCUUUUCUGCAUCUACUGAGAUAAUCAUGUGGCUAUUGUUCUUGGUUCUGUUUAUGUGAUUGAUUGUGUUUAUUGAUUUGUGUAUGUUGAACCAGCCUUGUAUCCCAGGGCUGAAGCCGACCUGAUCGUGGUGGGUAAGCUUUUUGAUGUGCUGCUGGAUUCAGUUUGCCAGUAUUUUUCUGAGGAUUUUCACAUAGAUAUUCAUCAGAGAUAUUGGCCUGAAAUUUUCUUUUUUUGUUGUGUCUCUGCCAGGUUUUGGUAUCAGGAUGAUGCUGGCCUCAUAAAAUGAGUUAGGGAGGAGGCCCUCUUUUUGUAUUGUUUGGAAUAGUUUCAGAAGGAAUGGUACCAGCUCCUCUUUGUACCUCUGGUAGAAUUCAACUGUGAAUCUGGUCCUGGGCUUUUUUUGGUUGGUAGGCCAUUAAUUACUGCCUCAAUUUCAGAACUUGUUAUUGGUCUAUUCGGAGAUUCGACUUCUUCCUGGCUUAGUCUUUGGAGCAUGUAUGUGUCCAGGAAUUUAUCCAUUUCUUCUAGAUUUUCUAGUUUAUUUGCAUGGAGGUGUUUAAAGUAUUCUCUGAUGGUAGUUUGUAUUUCUGUGGAUCAGUGGUGAUAUCCCCUUUAUCAUUUUUUAUUGUGUCUAUUUGAUUCUUCUCUCUUUUCUUCUUUAUUAGUCUGGCUAGUGGUCUAUCUAUUUUGUUAAACUUUUCAAAAAACCAGCUCCUGGAUUCAUUGGUUUUUUGAAGGGAUUUUGUGUCUCUAUCUCCUUCAUUUCUGCUCUGAUCCUAGUUAUUUUUUUGUCUUCUGCUAGCUUUUGCAUUUGUUUGAUCUUGCUUCUCUAGUUCUUUUAAUUGUGAUGUUAGGGUGUCGAUUUUAGAUCUUUCCUGCUUUCUCUUGUGGGCAUUUAGUGCUAUAAAUUUCCCUCUAGCUGUGUCCCAGAGAUUCUGGUAUGUUGUGUCUUUGCUCUCAUCAGUUGCAAAGCACUUAUUUAUUUCUGUCUUAUUUUCGUUAUUUAUCCAGUAGUCAUUCAGGAGCAGGUUGUUCAGUUUCCAUGUAGUUGUGUGGUUUUGAGUGAGUUUCUUAAUCCUGAGUUCUAAUUUGAUUGCACUGUGGUCUGAGAAACUGUUUGUUAUGAUUUCCAUUCUUUUGCAUUUGCUAAGGAGUGUUUUACUUUCAAUUAUGUGGUCAAUUUUAGAAUAAGUGCCAUGUAGUGCUGAGAAGAAUGUAUAUUCUGUUGAUUUGGGGUGAAGAGUUCUGUAGAUGUCUAUUAGGUCUGCUUGAUCCAGAGCUGAGUUCAAGUCCUGAAUAUCCUUGUUAAUUUUCUGUCUCAUUGAUCUAAUAUUGAUGGUAGGGUGUUAAAGUCUCCCACUAUUAUUGUGUGGGAGUCUAAGUCUCUAUGUAGGUCUCUAAGAACUUGCUUUAUGAAUCUGGGUACUCCUGUAUUGGGUGCAUAUGUAUUUAUGAUAGUUAGCUCUUUUUGUUGCAUUAUUCCCUUUACCAUUAUGUAAUGCCCUUGUCUUUUUUAUCUUUGUUGGUUUAAAGUCUGUUUUAUCAAAGACUAGGAUUGUAACUCCUCCUUUUUUUAAUUGUUUUUAUUUUUUGAUUUCCAUUUGCUUGGUAAAUAUUCCUCCAUCCCUUUAUUUCAAGCCUAUGUGUGUCUUUGCACAUGAGACAAGUCUCCUGAAUACAGCACACUGAUGGGUCUUGACUCUAUCCAAUUUGCCAGUCUGUGUCUUUUAACUGGGGCAUUUCGCCCAUUUACAUUUAAGGUUGUUAUUGUUAUGUGUGAAUUUGAUCCUGUCAUUAUGAUGCUAGCUGGUUAUUUUGCCCGUUAGUUGAUGCAGUUUCUUUAUAGUGUUGAUGGUCUUUAUUUGGUAUGUUUUUGCAGUGGCUGGUACCAGUUUUUCCUUUCCAUAUUUAGUGCUUCCUUCGGGAGCUCUUGUAAGGCAGGCCUGGUAGUGAGACAAAAAUCUCUCAGCAUUUGCUUGUCUGUAGAGGAUUUUAUUUCUCCUUCGCUUACAAAGCUUAGUUUGGCUGGAUGUGAAAUUCUGGGUUGAAAAUUCUUUCUUUUUAAGAAUGUUGAAUAUUGGCCCCCACUCUCUUCUGGCUUUUAGGGUUUCUGCAGAGAGAUCUGCUGUUAGUCUGAUGGGCUUCCCUUUGUGGGUAACCCGAUCUUUCUCUCUGGGUGCCCUUAACAUUUUUUCCUUCAUUUCAGCCUCGGUGAAUCUGAUGAUUAUGUGUCUUGGGGUUGCUCUUCUUGAGAAGUAUCUUUGUGGUGUUCUCUGUAUUUCCUGAAUUUGAAUGUUGGCCUGUCUUGCUAGGUUGGGGAAGUUCUCCUGGAUAAUAUCCUGAAGAGUGUUUUCCAACUUGGUUACAUUCUCCCUGUCACUUUCAGGUACACCAAUCAAACAUAGGUUUGGUCUUUACACAUAGUCCCAUAUUUUCUGGAGGCUCUGUUUGUUCCUUUUCAUUCUUUUUUCUCUAAUAUUGUCUUCACGCUUUAUUUCAUUAAGUUGAUCUUCAAUCUCCAACAUCCUUUCUUCUGCUUGAUCGAUUUGGCUACUGAUACUUGUGUGUGCUUCACAAAGUUCUCAUGCUGUGAUUUGCAGCUCCAUCAGGCCAUUUAUGUUCUUCUCUAAACUGGUUAUUCUAGUUAGCAAUUCCUCUAACCUUUUUUCAAGGUUCUUAGCUUCCUUGCUUUGGGUUAGAACAUGCUCCUUUAGCUCAGAGGAAUUUGUUAUUACCCACCUUCUGAAGCCUUCUUCUGUCAGUUCAUCAAACUCGUUUUCCAUCCCUUGCUGGUGAGGAGUUGUGAUCCUUUGGAGGAGAAGAGGCCUUCUGGUUUUUGGAGUUUUCAGCCUUUUUGCACUGGUUUUUCCUCAUCUUUGUGGAUUUAACUACCUUUGGUCUUUGAUGUUGGUGACCUUUGGACGGGGUUUGUGUGGUCAUCCUGUGUGUUGACAUUGAUGCUAUUCCUUUCUGUUUGUUAGUUUUCCUUCUAACAGUCAGGCCCCUCUGCUGCAGGUCUGCUGGAGGUCCACUCCAGAACCUGUUUGCCUGGGGUAUCACCAGUGGAGGCUGCAGAAUAGCAGACUGCUGCCUGUUCCUUCCUCUGGAAGUUUUGUCCCAGAGGGGCAUUUGCCAAAUGCCAGCUGGAGCUCUCCUGUAUGAGGUGUCUGUCAACCCUGGCUGGGAAGUGUCUCCCAGUCAGGAGGCACAGGGGUCAGGGACCCACUUGAGGAGGCAGUCUGUCCCUUAGCAGAACUCAAGCUCUGUGCUGGGAGAUCUGCUGCUCACUUCAGCGUCACCAGGCAGGAACUUUUAAGUCUGCUGAAGCUGUGUCCGCAGCCACCCCUUCCCCCAGGUGCUCUAUCCCAGGUAGAGGAAAGUUUUAUCUAUAAGCCCCUGACUGGGGAUGCUGCCUUUCUUUCAGAGAUGCUCUGCUCAGAGAGGAAGAAUCUAGAGAGGUAGUCUGGCUACAGUGGCUUUGCCAAGCUGUGGUGGACUCUGCCCAGUUCAAACUUCCAGGCAGCUUUGUCUACAAGGUGCUAUCUCUAAAAAUAAAGAAAGAGCUGUCCUCAAACAAACAUAAACCUGCAAUAUGUAAUUUAGUACUACCUGCAUAAAGCAUAUAUUGAUUUUCUGUUACUGCUAUAAUAAAUUACCAUAAAUUUAGUGGCUUAAAACACUACAAACUUACAAUCUUACAGUUCUGUAGGUCAGAGUUCUGAAAUGGGUCUUUCAGGGCUAAAAUUAAGGUGUCAGUGAGGCUGCAUUUCUUCUGGAGGGUCUAGAGGAGAAUAUGUCUUCUUGCCUCUUCCAGCUCCUAGAAACCAACCAUAUUUCUUGGCUUAUGGCCCCUUCUUCCAUCUUCACAGCCAGCAGCUUUGCAUUGCUCUCUGACCAUUCUUCCAUAGCCACAUCUCCCUCAGACUCUCAUCUCAGAGGAAAGGUUCUUUUAAGAAUUCAUUUGAUGAAUUUGGGCUUAUUCAAAUAAUCCAGGAUGAUCUCCCCAUCUCAAGGUCCUCAACUUUUCUCACACCUGCAAAGUUCCUUUUGCCAUAUAAAGUAACAUAUUCACAGGUUCCAGAGAUUCAAAUGUGGACAUCUUGGAGACUCCAUUUUUCUUCCU
This 4230-nucleotide long non-coding RNA is filed under the name Homo sapiens (human). RNAcentral's name for it is "HSALNT0209086". The record is from RNAcentral. Lineage: Eukaryota; Metazoa; Chordata; Mammalia; Primates; Hominidae.